This 254-nucleotide ribosomal RNA is filed under the name uncultured bacterium. Its description in RNAcentral is "partial 16S ribosomal RNA". It matches the Rfam family "Bacterial small subunit ribosomal RNA", at positions 524 to 777 of the family's 1533-position model. The record is from RNAcentral.
UACGUAGGGAGCAAGCGUUGUCCGGAAUCAUUGGGCGUAAAGCGCGCGUAGGUGGCCCAGUAAGUCCGUUCUGAAAGUCACAGGCUCAACCUGUGAAAGCGGAUGGAUACUGCUGGGCUAGAGUCCGGAAGAGGCGAGUGGAAUUCCUGGUGUAGCGGUGGAAUGCGCAGAUAUCAGGAGGAACACCAACGGCGAAGGCAGCUCGCUGGGACGGUACUGACACUGAGGCGCGAAAGCCAGGGGAGCGAACGGGG